CAUGCAAGUCGAGCGGAAACGAUGGGAGCUUGCUCCCAGGCGUCGAGCGGCGGACGGGUGAGUAACGCGUAGGAAUCUACCCAGUAGCGGGGGACAACUCGGGGAAACUCGAGCUAAUACCGCAUACGCCCUUAGGGGGAAAGGCUUCGGCCACUAUUGGAUGAGCCCGCGUCCGAUUAGUUUGUUGGUAGGGUAAUGGCCUACCAAGACUACGAUCGGUAGCUGGUCUGAGAGGACGAUCAGCCACACUGGGACUGAGACACGGCCCAGACUCC
RNAcentral lists this ribosomal RNA (275 nucleotides) under uncultured bacterium. Its description in RNAcentral is "partial 16S ribosomal RNA". It matches the Rfam family "Bacterial small subunit ribosomal RNA", at positions 54 to 339 of the family's 1533-position model. The record is from RNAcentral.